GACGAACGCUGGCGGCGUGCUUAACACAUGCAAGUCGAACGAAGAGCGAUGGAAGCUUGCUUCUAUCAAUCUUAGUGGCGAACGGGUGAGUAACGCGUAAUCAACCUGCCCUUCAGAGGGGGACAACAGUUGGAAACGACUGCUAAUACCGCAUACGAUCUAAUCUCGGCAUCGAGGAGAGAUGAAAGGUGGCCUCUACAUGUAAGCUAUCACUGAAGGAGGGGAGUGCGUCUGAUUAGCUAGUUGGAGGGGUAACGGCCCACCAAGGCGAUGAUCAGUAGCCGGUCUGAGAGGAUGAACUGCCACAUUGGGACUGGGACACGGCCCAGACUCCUACGGGAGGCAGCAGUGGGGAAUCUUCCGCAAUGGACGAAAUUCUGACGGAGCAACGCCGCGUGAGUGAUGACGGCCUUCGGGUUGUAAAGCUCUGUUAAUCGGGACGAAAGGCCUUCUUGCGAAUAGUGAGAAGGAUUGACGGUACCGGAAUAGAAAGCCACGGCUAACUACGUG
RNAcentral lists this ribosomal RNA (510 nucleotides) under uncultured bacterium. RNAcentral's name for it is "partial 16S ribosomal RNA". It matches the Rfam family "Bacterial small subunit ribosomal RNA", at positions 28 to 507 of the family's 1533-position model. The record is from RNAcentral.